Molecule: long non-coding RNA, 1473 nt
Organism: Actinia tenebrosa (Australian red waratah sea anemone)
Lineage: Eukaryota; Metazoa; Cnidaria; Anthozoa; Actiniaria; Actiniidae
Source: RefSeq, a predicted model, not a curated record
UCACGUACUUCCAACACAAAAAUCCGACGAAGUAAAUAACUAAAGAGAAGAGACGACAUUUCUCUUUUUCUCUGGGAUGCAUUCUCGUACUUUGGCAACUAUUCCACAAAGAUAAUGUCGACCGAUUAACCUUCUUGGGAUGGAGAUUAAGGAACACGAAACUGGGACGAACUGGUGUACACGCCGAAGAAAUAUUAAAGAAAAACACUCCCCACGUGUAAGUCUCAACAAUCUAGACGCCAUCUCGUUUUGAAAAAGAAGAAACUACGCCACAAAUUUGUAGAAAUUAUGUGACUUUCCAGUAAUGUGGAUUUGGUCAUGGAGUGCAAGCCAUAUACAUGUAUCUGGGAAACAAAACCAAAGAUAUGUAUUGUCUACCUAAUUGCUGGUAUUUUGCUGCAAAUUUUCAUGAAAUAGUAGACAUUACUGUAGCAGAACAUUGGGAACAAAAGCAAAUACCUCUACUUUUUUGGUUUGGUUCAUGCCUGAGGAAAUAGACUUAAUYGGCUAACGUGUUGCUAUGUACGUUACCACCCAAUUCAAACCUUCUGGGAAUAGAAGCGUUUGUCUCUACAGAUUCAACUGUGAAACCAAAAAAUAAGGAACAAUGAAACUUAGUCUCAUGUGGUUUGAAUUGGGUUGAAACAUUUAUAGCAACACGUUAGCCGAUUAGRUCUAUUCUUAGCUAGUUUACAAAAAAUUGGUUGAUGACUAAAAAUAUUUUGAAUCGUCAGAGCACAAUAAGUUUAUUUAGCCUUCAAUGAGCUCCCACACAUGUACCACACUUCAAUAAAACAAACCAUCAAACUGGCCAUGAAAAUUCCAACRUAUAAAGUGCUCAGAAAUUUCAAACCUCCCAUCCUAAAUUAAAUACGAGUGUUGCACAUGAAGUAAGUAAACUCAUUCCAAAUCUCAGUAACUGUUCAAAGAAAUGGGUACAUAAAUAUUUCAGUCAUUUAUAGCCCUUUUAAAUUCCAAAGCCUUCUAUCUUCAUUCAAUAAUCUCACAUAAUCCAACCAGCUAAUAGCUGCCAUUAUAGAACAAGGAGGGAGACCAAUCACUUUUUCAAAACAGCAAAGCAGCAAAUCGUCUAGCUUCAAGUCAUCCUAAUACCAUAAAUCAAAAGAUGCAUUUGAUUUGACCUUCUUAUUUGAGAAUCCACAAGUUCCUGACAGUAGUCUUCACCAUCCUUUAUCUUGAGGGGCCUAGUGAUCAUAUAAUAUGUAAGAAAAGUUAUAGAGUGCACGCACUAAAACCGUGAUUAUUAAAUAGUACUAAUUAGUUCAUACAGAAUCCUUUGUUUUCUAUUUUUUAAUUAUCACUUUUUAGUGCUAAAAAUUAGUAUUUGUUUCACAGAUUUAGUGUGAGCACUCUAGUUCAAUACGGUUAUAGCAAUAUGGUCAAUAUGGAGCAAUAAUUGGCAAGUGUGUAGUAAAUGACAUAUUUGAAGAGACUUUACAACAGGAAAGACAA